Long non-coding RNA from Penaeus chinensis, 506 nucleotides. RefSeq lists it as uncharacterized. The record is from RefSeq and is a predicted model, not a curated record. The transcript is spliced from 3 exons. NCBI's taxonomy places the organism in Eukaryota, Metazoa, Arthropoda, Malacostraca, Decapoda, Penaeidae.
AGUGUGCAUCUGUGCGUGGUGGAGAGAGGAUCUUUAUCGCGCUCUCUUGGUGCUAACUUUUUUAUAUAAAUUUCUGUGUGCUAGUGAAAGUGAAGACACUGUGAUUAAAAGAGAGAGAGAAAAAAAAGAAAAAAGAGAUAGAUAUCAGGAUUUUUUUUUCUUAUUUAUUUUUAUUUAUCCCUAUCAUCUAUCGGAAGUGUGUCAUUCGAAAAAAAAAGAAAAGAAACAAAACGAAACUGCCGUAACUGUAUAAUUAAGUAAUACAUUCGAGGAGCGUGUAGGAUACAGCUGUAUUUGUUGUAUCCCGCGCUUUAUUCAGCCUUUCCUUCACUUCUGGUCUAAGUCAUUCUACCAGUGACCUUCAGAAAACAGGUAAACAUUCCUUUGCGAAGGAGAGUUCAUGCAAGGAAACGUGUGAGGAAGGUAACUCAUAACUCGUCUUUCUGUGCAUAGAAUAAUGGAAGGGUGUUUAAGAAGACAGGGAGGAAAAGAUGGUUAGUUAAGAU